UGACUCGUAGCUAAGCCGAUAGAGCGUGCGCUGUACAAAAGCCUAGGCGGCGUCCAUGAGUGGGUUCGAAUCCCAUUGAGGCAA
Molecule: transfer RNA, 84 nt
Filed under: Echinostoma caproni
Lineage: Eukaryota; Metazoa; Platyhelminthes; Trematoda; Plagiorchiida; Echinostomatidae
Rfam family: tRNA
About the family: Transfer RNA (tRNA) molecules are approximately 80 nucleotides in length. Their secondary structure includes four short double-helical elements and three loops (D, anti-codon, and T loops).
Source: Rfam by way of RNAcentral